AUGGCUCUCCCGGGAGCACCAGGCUGCGCUCUCCGGACAGCCCGGCCUGUUCUGCAGGUAAAUCCGCUGCUCCAAGCCUGGCUGUGCCCGCAGAGCCAAACCCGGCCCGGGAGGGGAUGGAUUCGCCCUCGCAGCCAGCUCCGGCUGCUCCCCGCGCGGGAUUGGGCUGGGAUGCGCUGCCGCGGGAUGGAUGGAGCGUGGGGACACCGCGGAGGGAGCUGUGGCACUGCCCGCGGGACACGGGGACACGGCGACAGCGACACCGUGCAGGGAGCCGGUACCGCCGGGGCUGCGGGGAUGUGGGUGUCCCGGGGGACUGCAGGGACACGGGGGUGCGGUGGGGAGACAGGGACACGGAUGUCCCGUGGUGAGACAGGGACACGAUGUCCCGGGGGGCUGCAGAGACACGGGUGUCCCGGAGGGCUGCAGGGACACGGGCCAGCAAAGAAAUGUUUCUGCCCAGCCUCCCUCUUGGAUUCAACCAUGUCAAAACCUCCUUGUCUCCCACUGGUUUCACCAGCAGCGUGAGCUGGGAGAUCCCAGAUCCCAGGCUGAGCACCAGGCUGGCUGUGCAGGGAAGCCUGGGAGAGCUGGUGGUGGAACAGCAGAGAGGGGGAGUCGCUCCUUCGGCAGAUCCCAGGCAAGAACAGGGAGAAUCUGCCGGGGCAGAUCCGCGUUUCCCACUGCUGCCCAGAGGUGAGGUGGAUUUUUGAGGAUGCUCCAGCUCCAGCCACAGCGGCCUUCCACAGCCUCCCAAGCACUGCCAGACCUUCCCAAUCCAGCUUGAAAUUCAUUUGAUCACUGGCAAAGCCUUGUUGUUCAUUUCUGUGUUUGAUUCUCUGCUCAGGGGUUUGGUUCCAUGAAUGCUGGACCCUGGUAAAAAAGAUGCUGGGUUAUUUCUACCAAGAGCCCUUCACUGGUGUGGUUCUGCUCCGUAUUCCUGCACAGCCAGACAGUGCCUGGGUAUCCCAGCUGUUCCUUUAUCCCAAAAUACCCUGGAAGCCUCCUGCCUGCACCGUGCAAUGCCACAGAUGAGGACAGCAGGACCCACAGGUAGCUUCAGACAGCAUGAAAACCACCCAGCUCCAUGGUUAUAAAUGUGGGAGGCUUUGCUGAGCUCCUGGUGUGCACAGCCAGCAUGAUCCAGGCUCGGCUGUGGGUCAGGACAAGCCUCGGUGGCAGAGGCAGGACAAUGCCUGCCCACAUCCCUGUCCUGCCCCACAUCCCAGCCGGGUCUGGGGUGGAUUCAGCAGCACUCAGAGGAGAGCAGAGGGCAGGGGCAGAGCGGGGAGGAUGGACAGCCUGGUGAUGCACCAGAGGUAUGCAGACAGCAGGCAGAGGGAAAAGGGAGGGAGUUACAGAAAGAAAAGAGAUUAGCUAAGGAUUUCCAGCUAUCUCACAGGAAUUUGUGCAAGUGUUUGCAGCCUCUACAUGCACAGGAGGUAAAAUUUACCCACUGGCUUCUCCUGCCCCUCAAAACAGCCUGAAUGCCAGUGGGGUGACUUAAAAAUAACAGUGCUGGAGGCUGGGCUGUGCUCAGAGCAAAGCCGUGCUCAGCACGUGGCUGACAGCAGC
Molecule: long non-coding RNA, 1575 nt
Organism: Lonchura striata (white-rumped munia)
Lineage: Eukaryota; Metazoa; Chordata; Aves; Passeriformes; Estrildidae
Source: Ensembl